AAGGAUCAUUACCAAAAUCCACAACCGACACCGAUGUGAACCCACACGUAUUUGUCCUGGCCCCCUGUGCGAGAGCGCGGGGGGCCAUGGUCAACACCCAUCAACCCCUUUUAUUGAACCUUGCAUCUCAACUUAACAAUUAAAAAAUAAUUUAAAACAACUUUUAGCGGUGGAUCUCUCGGCUCGU
This 187-nucleotide unclassified non-coding RNA is filed under the name uncultured fungus. RNAcentral's name for it is "partial contains 18S rRNA, ITS1, 5.8S rRNA, ITS2 and 28S rRNA". The record is from RNAcentral. Lineage: Eukaryota; Fungi.